This 279-nucleotide ribosomal RNA is filed under the name uncultured bacterium. RNAcentral describes it as "partial 16S ribosomal RNA". It matches the Rfam family "Bacterial small subunit ribosomal RNA", at positions 506 to 784 of the family's 1533-position model. The record is from RNAcentral.
UGCCAGCCGCCGCGGUAAUACGGAGGGGGUUAGCGUUGUUCGGAAUUACUGGGCGUAAAGCGCGCGUAGGCGGACUAUUAAGUGAGAGGUGAAAUCCCAUGGCUCAACCAUGGAACUGCCUUUCAUACUGGUAGUCUUGAGUUCGAGAGAGGUGAGUGGAAUUCCAAGUGUAGAGGUGAAAUUCGUAGAUAUUUGGAGGAACACCAGUGGCGAAGGCGGCUCACUGGCUCGAUACUGACGCUGAGGUGCGAAAGUGUGGGGAGCAAACAGGAUUAGAUA